Long non-coding RNA from Triticum dicoccoides, 787 nucleotides. RefSeq lists it as uncharacterized. The record is from RefSeq and is a predicted model, not a curated record. NCBI's taxonomy places the organism in Eukaryota, Viridiplantae, Streptophyta, Magnoliopsida, Poales, Poaceae. The transcript is spliced from 6 exons.
UUCAUGAUUACUGAUUAUAAGUGAACACACGUAUCUUCUCUCGAGGUUCUGAGUGUUGAGAGUGGUUGCUCAUUGUUUCUGUAUUCAAAUACUGAUGAAUCAACACUUCCAAAAGAUAUAUUGGGGAAGUUCCACUAUGUUCCUACAGACUGUUGGCCAAAAAAGAUUGGGGGAAAAUAGCUCUGGAGAAGGAUUGAGAUGAAAAUGGGAUUGGGAUCUCACUUCGCAAUGCAUUGAAGAAUCAUGAUAAUUUAUACAGCCUGUUCUUUCUUUAGUACCAAUGAAUAACUUGGUUACACAAUAUACUUGAAGAUUGCAUUAGGAACAAAAUGCUUAGCAGACCAAACUAAUUAGUUUUCUGGAGACAGACUACUCUUGCAUCAUUAUGUGCAACCCACAGGUAUCUCACUCGGCGAGACAUGCACACCUAUGCCACAUCUUUACAUGUUUCACAAAAACAUAAACAUGAUUGGAUGGGCGUCCUUGCCGGCGACCUCGCUAUCUCCAACCCAUCCACAGGGAGAAUACUAUGAAUGAGAAUGGACUAAGAAAUUGUGAUACACCUUCCUUUAGGUGCAUUUUCAUUCAGAUGGUGAUCCAGGUUUGUUGGAGCAGUACAUGCUAACCACCAAUUUGUUUUCUGAUCUUUUUAGUACAAGGCUUUACCAAACUAUCAAUUGAAGUGCAGGUCAACCAAGACUUCAUAUACAUAGGCUGAAAGAUGAAAACUAAAGACCAUGGAGAAGAUCACACCAUCUUUAUCCCAGGAAAAACAACUGCAUGGUCA